GCUGUCAGUACCAUGUGAAAGAUGGACAGUGUGCUGCCUGUUGAUAUUGUAUCGACCCCAGCGAUAAAUGCAGUGCUUGGCAGUUCUAGCAGCAACAAGAAGAUUUGGACCGUACUCCCUCCCUGGCCAGCUGCCCGGAGUCUCGUGGAGGAAAGCAAAGAAUCUGGGGACAGACCAGCUGGCUGGACCCCAGAGAAGACAAGAAAGGCCUCUUGGAAGCAGCAGCAGCUAAAAAUUAAGCCCCGACCUGCAAGACUCCCACAUCCCCGAUGCCAGGCAAGAGGCACCUGAGAAAGCAAGACUUAGCAGUGAUGAUGAUGACGAUGGUGGGUGUUGGCAGCGGGAGAAGGAUCCGUGCCCCGGAUGGAGCCCAGAAAUUAGAAUGCAUCAGGUGACCGUCUGUCUCCCAGAGAGAGAACUCGGAGAAACGGAGUCCUCCCGAAACCAAGUGGAAAGAUGCCGGCCGCACUCAACGGCCCCACGGCGAGUCGCAAGCUGGACCUGGGAGAGUAGCAAUGCACGUAUCGGGGUGAGGCCCGGGGGCCAGCGUCCUCGUGGCUCCGGAGAGGCCCCGGAGAGCAAGACCCUGACCGAAGGCCCCCACGGUCGGCGCGGCUUCGGAUCCCGGCAGAGCCCCGCGGACGGGAUCUCCGGAGAGGUAGGAGGAGAGGGGGUCGGGAGCGCCGCCGACGCCUCUGUGCACUUUUCACAGCCCUUAGGAAAGCAUCUGCCACCACGCUGAGAUCUGGGCUCUCGAUGGAAAGCGCUUAUUAGUGAAUUGGGCUGCGUAUGUGGUGGGGCCAGGACGGAGAGCCCCCCGGGGCCCUCCCCGACGCCCGCUGCAGACACCUACCGAGACU
Long non-coding RNA from Ornithorhynchus anatinus (platypus), 860 nucleotides. RefSeq lists it as uncharacterized. NCBI's taxonomy places the organism in Eukaryota, Metazoa, Chordata, Mammalia, Monotremata, Ornithorhynchidae. The transcript is spliced from 4 exons. The record is from RefSeq and is a predicted model, not a curated record.